Molecule: ribosomal RNA, 429 nt
Filed under: Acidobacteriota bacterium
Lineage: Bacteria; Pseudomonadati; Acidobacteriota
Description: Acidobacteria bacterium partial 16S ribosomal RNA
Rfam family: Bacterial small subunit ribosomal RNA
Source: RNAcentral
UGGGGAAUUUUGGACAAUGGGGGAAACCCUGAUCCAGCCAUCCCGCGUGUGCGAUGAAGUCCUUCGGGUUGUAAUGCACUUUUGGCAGGAAAGAAACGUCAUGGGUUAAUACCCCGUGAAACUGACGGUACCUGCAGAAUAAGCACCGGCUAACUUCGUGCCAGCAGCCGCGGUAAUACGUAGGGUGCGAGCGUUAAUCGGAUUUACUGGGCGUAAAGGGUGCGCAGGCGGUUCGGAGAGAAAGAUGUGAAAUCCCUGAGCUCAACUUUGGAACUGGAUUUUUAACUACUGGGCUAGAGUGGGGCAGAGGGAAGUGGAAUUCCGAGAGUAGCAGUGAAAUGCGUAGAUAAGCGGAGGAACACCGGUAGCGAAGGCAGCCUCCUGAGAUAACACUGACGCUAAUGCACGAAAGCGUGGAGAGCAAACAGG